Molecule: ribosomal RNA, 434 nt
Filed under: uncultured bacterium
Lineage: Bacteria
Description: partial 16S ribosomal RNA
Rfam family: Bacterial small subunit ribosomal RNA
Source: RNAcentral
AUCGAACGCUGGCGGCAGGCCUAACACAUGCAAGUCGAACGAACCUUUCGGGGUUGGUGGCGGACGGGUGGGUAGCACGUUGGAACAUGCCUUUAGGUUCGGAAUGACUCAGGGGAACUUGUUCGGAUACCGGAUGUGCCCUUCGGGGGGAAGAUUAGUCGCCUUUAGAGCGUCCCGCGUCUGAUUAGCUAGUUGGUUGACGUAAUGGCUUACCAAGGCGGCUAGCAGUAGCUGGUAUGAGAGGAUGAUCAGACACAUUGGGACUGAGGCACGGCCCAAAAUCCUACGCGAGGCAGCAGUGGGGAAUCUUGCGCAAUGGGCGAUAGCCUGAAGCAGCCAUGCCGCGUGAAUGAUGAAGGUCUUAGGAUUGUAAAAUUCUUUAAUCGGGGACGAUAAUGACGGUACCCGGAGAAGAAGCCCCGGCUAACUUCGUG